AAUUAUUUAGCAAAAAGCCUAUAUGACUUGAAAUCAUAUAUAAAGAAUUAAUAUUCUUAAUAAUUU
This 66-nucleotide transfer RNA is filed under the name Merostenus sp. RNAcentral's name for it is "tRNA-Ser". Lineage: Eukaryota; Metazoa; Arthropoda; Insecta; Hymenoptera; Eupelmidae. The record is from RNAcentral.